This is a long non-coding RNA of Oncorhynchus tshawytscha (Chinook salmon), 1189 nucleotides long. The record is from Ensembl. Lineage: Eukaryota; Metazoa; Chordata; Actinopteri; Salmoniformes; Salmonidae.
GAAAUUUGUGGCACCAUGAAGACAGUACGCACCUGCUAAAAUCGCUUUCCUAUUGAACAUACGUCUUCUGUAAGAAAUAUUACAGUUUGAUUACAUUUUAGGGUAAAUGGAAACAUAUUUUGACUUGUUGAAAGAAAGUUUAGGGGUAGAUUUUCGGAUUCCUUUCUCUACAAGUUGUACAAGUGGAUAACUCAAAUCGAUGGCGCUAACUGAACGGUAGCGGGACGCCUAUCCCUAAGAAGUUUUAAGACAUGAAGCUUAGUAAAUGCGGAAAAUGUCAAGAACUUUGAAAGUUUCUUCAAGUGCAAUCGUAAAAACCAUCAAGCGCUGUGAUGAAAAUGGCUCUCAUGAGGACUGCCACAGUAAAGGAAGACCCAGAGUUAGCCUCAGAAAUUGCAACCCAAAUGCUUUACAGAGUUCAGACGAGAGGGAAUAUAUCUGUGGGUACUGUUCAUCGUGUGAUCCACACAGCAGAGAAGCCAAUCCAAUCUGCGGCUUCACCUGCCCCCAGAAGGCCUCUCUCAACUGACACAUGAAGAAGCACGACUCCGACGCCACCUCUCCUGCUCCAUCUGCGAUAAUAAAUUUGAGAAGGACAGCGUGAUGGCCCACAAGAGCUGAGGCUGAACCAUCUGAACUUAAUGAUCAGCUUGGGCUCACCGACCCAAAGGAGUCAAGACAGAGCUGGCUCCGGACAUAGCUAAGGUUGCCGCCUCCCUGGGCACAUGUUCAUUCAACACCUAGGCGCAUAUGCUGAUUUCUCAUAUAAAUGCACCCAUUCAUUCAGGUUCCAGACCAGUUAACUAGGCCCAAGACGUCAUAACGUAAGACCCCUAGACAUAACAAGUCCGGUCACAGGCCAGUUAGCUAGGCCUAAGACCCCUAGACAUAAUGAGUGCAACAAAAUCAGUAGGCUUGUUAUGGGUUUUGUAACAUAGGAGCAUGUCUGGCAUAAAUGUUAACACAUGUUAGCAUUAGUGGUUGUAGUCCAGAUGGUUGUGAACCGGUGUGGUUCAGUAGUGUGGUUGUGCAUUUGUUGAGAAGUUUUGUCGCAGGUCUUUGUGUCGAGCUAGCAUGCAAGGUGAGGUUAGCGGCAGGCUAAUGUUAAUCUGAUUUAAUCAGGCUGUAAUACGUCAUUAAUUGGUAUAUAAAAAAAAAUGAAACUGUCUGCAAAAUCUUGUAAAUGUUC